Molecule: long non-coding RNA, 1549 nt
Filed under: Homo sapiens (human)
Lineage: Eukaryota; Metazoa; Chordata; Mammalia; Primates; Hominidae
Description: HSALNT0405865
Source: RNAcentral
CUGACUAGAGAACAAACUACCAAUUAACGAGCGAGGAAACAGGGCCAGAGAAUUGGAACAAAAUACAAGGCUGCCUCUGAAAGGAAUAUCUUUGUGCUGAUGUGUCCAUCAAGAGAACAUACACAGAAGUGACACUUGCCAGUAAUUUGCAAGCAGAUGGAACUUCAAUAUGGCAAUAGAGAAAGAAUCAAUUAGACCAGAGUCUCCUCAGGAAGACUUUCUAUAGCGUAAUUAUCUCUCCAAUUAAAGAGCAACCAAGGGACAACUGAACUGGAGGUUCUGCAGAAUUACAACUAAGCACGCAGCCGAGGAAUCUACUCAGCUUUGAUCUCUUAUCGCUCUGCACACACAGCCCUUUCUCUGUAAGGCUAGCUGCUCUCAGCAUCACUGUGUCUAAUCAAACGUGUCACACCUCCACUGAGAAAAUAUUUACUGGAUAGCUACUAGACAUAAGGAUGCAGAAAUGAAUUAGAAAAAUUCCUCGCCCUUGUUCAAAGCUAUGCUGGCUCUUAGAACAUCUGAGCCCCCACUGUUUCAUCUUUAGAGGAUCCCAGCUGCUGGGGUGUGAGGCCAGUGCUGGAGCCAGCAGUCUCUGACCCAGAAGGGACCUGAGGUGCUAAAGAAAAUGUCACAGAUGGAGUCCAAAAACAAAAUAACGGCCUGCUCCAUUCUGAUUCAAGUUCUCAUUUGCCUGUGCCCUGCUUUCCCAAGAGCCUAGUGACUGAUUGCAGACCCUUGAUUUCUGUGAGCUUAGACUAAUAGGUAUUGCAGGCAUACAUUCUGGGCUGAAGAUAACCAGAAAGCCAGCAACCUGAUGGGAGGAACAUUCAUUGCACAAGCUGAGAGUGAAAUGAGCUUCUACAUCAGGAUAUUUAACACAGACACAGAGAGGACGGUGCCACUGGAAGUCAUGCAGCCGCAAGUCAAGAAAUGUCAUGAGUGGCUCCUCUCCAGAAACUAGGAGAGGAGCAUGGGGCAGGUUUUCUCCUAGUGCCUUCAGAGACACAUGGCCCUGCCGACACCUUGAGUUUGGAUUUUUGGCCUCCAGAACUGGGUACAAGCUGGAAAAGGGGAAAAUGAAUCAUGCUACAGGCCAAGUGUCCAUCACUGAUUCCCAGAGAUGCCCUUUGUGUGGUAGGCACUUCCAUGUGGACUCGCUACAGAGUUUGGAGUUCCUGAACAACAUGGACAGUGUUAAUUUGGAUUCCAUGCUUCAUGGCACAGAAUUGGAGCACUAACUACUCAGUGAUGACUUUCUCUUCCUCUAGCUAAGGUGAUCAACAAGUUUCCUUGUUCUUUCUCCAAGUAGUAGAAGAAAGUAAAGGUCAUAAGACCCUAAUUCCAGAGGGCCCUACCCUAUAACCAGAAGGAAGAACUAUUGCACAGAGAAUCUAAGAAGAAUCUAGACAGACAGCCCUUGCUGGAUUUCUCCACUCUGUUAGCAUUCGAUCAUUUGCCUUUUGUCCAGUCAUAUUUCUGCAUGGCUGUCCAUACUUUGUUGAACCUAAGCACAAAAUGGAAAGUUUUCCCUGUAUCUUUGGGUCGUCAU